GAUUAAGUUAUUAAGGGCGCACGGUGGAUGCCUUGGCACUAGAAGCCGAUGAAGGACGUUACUAACGACGAUAUGCUUUGGGGAGCUGUAAGUAAGCUUUGAUCCAGAGAUUUCCGAAUGGGGAAACCCAGCAUGAGUUAUGUCAUGUUAUCGAUAUGUGAAUACAUAGCAUAUCAGAAGGCACACCCGGAGAACUGAAACAUCUUAGUACCCGGAGGAAGAGAAAGAAAAUUCGAUUCCCUUAGUAGCGGCGAGCGAAACGGGAAGAGCCCAAACCAACAAGCUUGCUUGUUGGGGUUGUAGGACACUCUAUACGGAGUUACAAAGGACGACAUUAGACGAAUCAUCUGGAAAGAUGAAUCAAAGAAGGUAAUAAUCCUGUAGUCGAAAAUGUUGUCUCUCUUGAGUGGAUCCUGAGUACGACGGAGCACGUGAAAUUCCGUCGGAAUCUGGGAGGACCAUCUCCUAAGGCUAAAUACUCUCUAGUGACCGAUAGUGAACCAGUACCGUGAGGGAAAGGUGAAAAGCACCCCGGAAGGGGAGUGAAAUAGAACCUGAAACCGUGUGCUUACAAGUAGUCAGAGCCCGUUAAUGGGUGAUGGCGUGCCUUUUGUAGAAUGAACCGGCGAGUUACGAUUUGAUGCAAGGUUAAGCAGUAAAUGUGGAGUCGUAGCGAAAGCGAGUCUGAAUAGGGCGUUUAGUAUUUGGUCGUAGACCCGAAACCAGGUGAUCUACCCUUGGUCAGGUUGAAGUUCAGGUAACACUGAAUGGAGGACCGAACCGACUUACGUUGAAAAGUGAGCGGAUGAACUGAGGGUAGCGGAGAAAUUCCAAUCGAACCUGGAGAUAGCUGGUUCUCUCCGAAAUAGCUUUAGGGCUAGCCUCAAGUGAUGAUUAUUGGAGGUAGAGCACUGUUUGGACGAGGGGCCCCUCUCGGGUUACCGAAUUCAGACAAACUCCGAAUGCCAAUUAAUUUAACUUGGGAGUCAGAACAUGGGUGAUAAGGUCCGUGUUCGAAAGGGAAACAGCCCAGACCACCAGCUAAGGUCCCAAAAUAUAUGUUAAGUGGAAAAGGAUGUGGCGUUGCCCAGACAACUAGGAUGUUGGCUUAGAAGCAGCCAUCAUUUAAAGAGUGCGUAAUAGCUCACUAGUCGAGUGACACUGCGCCGAAAAUGUACCGGGGCUAAACAUAUUACCGAAGCUGUGGAUUGUCCUUUGGACAAUGGUAGGAGAGCGUUCUAAGGGCGUUGAAGCAUGAUCGUAAGGACAUGUGGAGCGCUUAGAAGUGAGAAUGCCGGUGUGAGUAGCGAAAGACGGGUGAGAAUCCCGUCCACCGAUUGACUAAGGUUUCCAGAGGAAGGCUCGUCCGCUCUGGGUUAGUCGGGUCCUAAGCUGAGGCCGACAGGCGUAGGCGAUGGAUAACAGGUUGAUAUUCCUGUACCACCUAUAAUCGUUUUAAUCGAUGGGGGGACGCAGUAGGAUAGGCGAAGCGUGCGAUUGGAUUGCACGUCUAAGCAGUAAGGCUGAGUAUUAGGCAAAUCCGGUACUCGUUAAGGCUGAGCUGUGAUGGGGAGAAGACAUUGUGUCUUCGAGUCGUUGAUUUCACACUGCCGAGAAAAGCCUCUAGAUAGAAAAUAGGUGCCCGUACCGCAAACCGACACAGGUAGUCAAGAUGAGAAUUCUAAGGUGAGCGAGCGAACUCUCGUUAAGGAACUCGGCAAAAUGACCCCGUAACUUCGGGAGAAGGGGUGCUCUUUAGGGUUAACGCCCAGAAGAGCCGCAGUGAAUAGGCCCAAGCGACUGUUUAUCAAAAACACAGGUCUCUGCUAAACCGUAAGGUGAUGUAUAGGGGCUGACGCCUGCCCGGUGCUGGAAGGUUAAGAGGAGUGGUUAGCUUCUGCGAAGCUACGAAUCGAAGCCCCAGUAAACGGCGGCCGUAACUAUAACGGUCCUAAGGUAGCGAAAUUCCUUGUCGGGUAAGUUCCGACCCGCACGAAAGGCGUAACGAUUUGGGCACUGUCUCAACGAGAGACUCGGUGAAAUCAUAGUACCUGUGAAGAUGCAGGUUACCCGCGACAGGACGGAAAGACCCCGUGGAGCUUUACUGUAGCCUGAUAUUGAAAUUCGGCACAGCUUGUACAGGAUAGGUAGGAGCCUUUGAAACGUGAGCGCUAGCUUACGUGGAGGCGCUGGUGGGAUACUACCCUAGCUGUGUUGGCUUUCUAACCCGCACCACUUAUCGUGGUGGGAGACAGUGUCAGGCGGGCAGUUUGACUGGGGCGGUCGCCUCCUAAAAGGUAACGGAGGCGCUCAAAGGUUCCCUCAGAAUGGUUGGAAAUCAUUCAUAGAGUGUAAAGGCAUAAGGGAGCUUGACUGCGAGACCUACAAGUCGAGCAGGGUCGAAAGACGGACUUAGUGAUCCGGUGGUUCCGCAUGGAAGGGCCAUCGCUCAACGGAUAAAAGCUACCCCGGGGAUAACAGGCUUAUCUCCCCCAAGAGUUCACAUCGACGGGGAGGUUUGGCACCUCGAUGUCGGCUCAUCGCAUCCUGGGGCUGUAGUCGGUCCCAAGGGUUGGGCUGUUCGCCCAUUAAAGCGGUACGCGAGCUGGGUUCAGAACGUCGUGAGACAGUUCGGUCCCUAUCCGUCGUGGGCGUAGGAAAUUUGAGAGGAGCUGUCCUUAGUACGAGAGGACCGGGAUGGACAUACCUCUGGUGUACCAGUUGUCGUGCCAACGGCAUAGCUGGGUAGCUAUGUGUGGACGGGAUAAGUGCUGAAAGCAUCUAAGCAUGAAGCCCCCCUCAAGAUGAGAUUUCCCAACUUCGGUUAUAAGAUCCCUCAAAGAUGAUGAGGUUAAUAGGUUCGAGGUGGAAGCAUGGUGACAUGUGGAGCUGACGAAUACUAAUCGAUCGAAGACUUAAUCAA
RNAcentral lists this ribosomal RNA (2923 nucleotides) under Staphylococcus aureus. Its description in RNAcentral is "23S ribosomal RNA". It matches the Rfam family "Bacterial large subunit ribosomal RNA". Lineage: Bacteria; Bacillati; Bacillota; Bacilli; Caryophanales; Staphylococcaceae. The record is from RNAcentral.